This 1564-nucleotide unclassified non-coding RNA is filed under the name uncultured fungus. RNAcentral's name for it is "sequence contains 18S rRNA gene, ITS1, 5.8S rRNA gene, ITS2, 28S rRNA gene". The stretch from base 608 to 1564 matches the Rfam family "Eukaryotic large subunit ribosomal RNA", at positions 1 to 961 of the family's 3401-position model. Lineage: Eukaryota; Fungi. The record is from RNAcentral.
GGAAGGAUCAUUAACAAAUUCCAAAACUCGUCGACUGAGUGAUCGCUCAACUUUUGAAUCUUUGUUCCUAUAACUUAGGGGCAACGAGGAGGAAGGUAGGCUUUCAUUCGGAAAACACAACACUAACACUUAUUGACAACUAAUGGAGAAACCACGAUUAAUCGUAAAAACAACUUUUAACAAUGGAUCUCUCGGCUCUUGCAACGAUGAAGAACGCAGCAAACUGCGAAACGUGAUGUGAACUGCACUCUUCGUGAAUCAUCCAAUCUUUGAACGCACUUUGCACCUAGUGGCUUUUGUCACUAGGUAUACUUGUUUGAGUAUCAAAAACAACCUCACCUACCUUUCGGGGCAAGGUGGACUUGAGAUUCGAUAGGAACCGCGAGGAACCCUUCGUCUCUUUAAAUGUGGUGGUCCUUUGUGGGAGGUCUCCGUCUGGAACCUGACAGACUAUUGGGAUAACAUCCUGACGAUCGUCUGUCGGUUCAUUUCAAUUAGACGUUGACUAACCUUGGCCAACCUUGAAGGAACAUGGCGUACCUCUGUUAAACGAUGGUGCUUUAUGUGACUUUACUAGUUGGAUGCCGUAUGGUGUCUAAUUGUGAUAUGAUCUCAAAUCAAGUAAGGAUACCCGCUGAACUUAAGCAUAUCAGUAAGCGGAGGAAAAGAAACUAACAAGGAUUCCCUGAGUAACGGCGAGUGAAACGGGAUGAGCUCAAAUUUAAAAUCUGGCACACUUUGGGUGUCCGAAUUGUAAUUGAGAGGGUCUUCUUUUGGUGAAGGUCAUGGUCAAAGUUCUCUGGAAAGGGACAACAAAGAGGGUGACAUUCCCGUUUGGGUCAUGACUGGAGUCAGUAUAAAGAAGGCUCAAAGAGUCGGAUUGUUUGGGAAUGCGGUCCAAAAUGGGUGGUACAUUUCAUCUAAAGCUAAAUAUAUGCAAGAGACCGAUAGCGAACAAGUACCGUGAGGGAAAGAUGAAAAGAACUUUGAAAAGAGAGUUAAAUAGUACGUGAAAUUGUUAAAAGGGAAACGAUUGAGACCAGUGAUGUGGCAGUCCUUGAGCGAUCCCUUUGGGGUUCGUGUUUGGGCUUGUCACGAGUCGACGCUCCUUUUGAGCCUUGGAAAAGACAAAGGGAAAGGUGGCUCCACCUUCGGGUGGCUGCUUUAUAGUCCCUUUGGGAUACAAGGUUCGGGAGGAGACAGGUAGGGUCGCAAGACUCACGUCGACGAAAUGGUCUUAAACGACCCGUCUUGAAACACGGACCAAGGAGUCUAACAACUAUGCGAGUAUUUGAGUGGCAAACUCGAGUGCGCAAAGAAACUGAACGCGUGGGAUUUGUCCUCUUACGAGGGGUCAAUGCACCAUGGGCCAGUCCUUGUCUUUGACUUGGAUUGCGCUAGAGCAUAUCUGUUGGGACCCGAAAGAUGGUGAACUAUGCCUGAAUAGGGUGAAGCCAGGGGAAACUCUGGUGGAGGCUCGUAGACAUUCUGACGUGCAAAUCGAUGUUCAAAUUUGGGUAUAGGGGCGAAAGACUAAUCGAACCAUCUAGUAGCUGGUUCCCUC